GCAUCAAUGGUGUAAGGGUAGCACGGGUGCCUUCCAUUCACAAUUGGUCAAGCACCCAAUCCGCGUUCGAGUCGCGGUUGAUGCACAA
Molecule: non-coding RNA, 88 nt
Organism: Trichophyton verrucosum HKI 0517
Lineage: Eukaryota; Fungi; Ascomycota; Eurotiomycetes; Onygenales; Arthrodermataceae
Source: the annotation of a RefSeq genome assembly